This is a long non-coding RNA of Melanotaenia boesemani (Boeseman's rainbowfish), 135 nucleotides long. RefSeq lists it as uncharacterized. NCBI's taxonomy places the organism in Eukaryota, Metazoa, Chordata, Actinopteri, Atheriniformes, Melanotaeniidae. The record is from RefSeq and is a predicted model, not a curated record. The transcript is spliced from 3 exons.
CAUCCACUCCUCACUCAUACCUGGUGAUGGCAAGCUACGUGUGUAGCCACAGCUGACCUGGGGCAGGCUGAUGGAGACAAGGCUGCCAGUCCACGCCUACGGCCUCUCCGACCAUCACCAAAAUUGAUACACAUU